RNAcentral lists this ribosomal RNA (351 nucleotides) under uncultured eukaryote. RNAcentral describes it as "partial 18S ribosomal RNA". It matches the Rfam family "Eukaryotic small subunit ribosomal RNA", at positions 1470 to 1796 of the family's 1831-position model. The record is from RNAcentral.
CCCUUAGAUGUUCUGGGCCGCACGCGCGCUACACUGAUCGAUUCAACGAGUUUUGAAAUAAUUUUUAUAAUUUUUCAUAUCCUUUGUCGGAAGGCAUGGGUAAUCUUUUAAAUGUCGAUCGUGAUGAGGCUAGAUUCUUGCAAUUAUUAAUCUCCAACGAGGAAUUCCUAGUAAACGCAAGUCAUCAGCUUGCAUUGAUUACGUCCCUGCCCUUUGUACACACCGCCCGUCGCUCCUACCGAUUGAGUGGUCCGGUGAGGCUUUGGGAUCUGAGCGGAAAGAGCGUUUCGCUGUUUCUGCUCGGAAAACUCAGUCGAACCUUAUCAUUUAGAGGAAGGAGAAGUCGUAACA